This 568-nucleotide long non-coding RNA is filed under the name Heterocephalus glaber (naked mole-rat). RNAcentral's name for it is "lncRNA (ENSHGLG00100044974.1)". The record is from RNAcentral. Lineage: Eukaryota; Metazoa; Chordata; Mammalia; Rodentia; Bathyergidae.
AGUGCAGCUGGCAUCUUCAUGUCCCCGCUCCGGCGUCAGCUCCUGUUGAGCCGGGGUCCCCCCCGUAUGCCACGUGCUGCACGGGACGUCAGGGGAGAGGACGACAGCCGCUCGGACCAGUGUGGAGAGCAGACUUGAGGGCUGCGCGGCACACAACUGGGCUCUGCCCCUGAUUCAGCUCCUUCCCAGCCUCUCGCUGAGCACAUAAACUGAUUCACUGAUAUUUCCAAGUGAAGUGUUUUCCUCCAAAGAGAAAAAGAGAGUCAGCAAGGCAAGAAAAGAGUGGGAGGGAAGACCGAGGCUGGCAGGUUAAGGGUUUGCCUAGCAUAAGGCCACCACGGGGCUAGCCAGUAGCCAAACAAGUUUGUGGACCCAGAUGACAACACUUUCUCCACGGCGACACUGUCAGCACCUGCAGCUGUGAAGCAGAUUGUCACGUCGUGGCUGGCCUGGAAUUUCAAUCCUGGAAGCUGCCUUCUGAACAGCUCUCACUGCAGUGUGCCCUGAUCAUGACUGACUUCUCCCAGAGUGCACGGACUGAGACUCGAAGAGAGAAAAGAGCAAAGGC